GCUCAGGUGGCGAAAUUGGUAAACGUUGCGGCCUCAGGAGCCGUUGGGAGCAAUCCCUUGUGGGUUCGAGUCCCACCCUGAGCA
Molecule: transfer RNA, 84 nt
Filed under: Anseongella ginsenosidimutans
Lineage: Bacteria; Pseudomonadati; Bacteroidota; Sphingobacteriia; Sphingobacteriales; Sphingobacteriaceae
Also listed under: 2 other names
Description: Sphingobacteriaceae bacterium Gsoil 524 tRNA
Rfam family: tRNA
About the family: Transfer RNA (tRNA) molecules are approximately 80 nucleotides in length.
Source: Rfam by way of RNAcentral